AAGGAGCAGGCCCUGUGUCUUCCCUCCACCUCCAGUGAUUCUGUCCAGCACGGGAGCCUGGACCUGGGCCAUGGGUCCUGCCCGCCAGGCCUCUGGACCUCGGUGGAGGCCGGUCCUGGCCUGUGAGGGGGCAGCAGGGGCCUCUGAGUCCUCCACGGCGUGAGAGACGGAUGGGGUCUUUAUGGUAUAACUGAUAUGUGAAAAACGGCACAUAUUUAAUCUGUGCAGUUUGAUGAGUUUGGACAAAGGCACACUCCUGUGAAACCAUGACCACAAUCAGGGGUCCCAGUCGAGAACUUGCAAGGACAGAGCAGGACUCUGGAUGUUGGUUCUCCAGCCCCUCCUCCAUCACGGGAUGUGGGACCACCUGUGCCUGGACCUCACCUGACCCCAAGUCCUGAC
This 402-nucleotide long non-coding RNA is filed under the name Equus asinus (donkey). RNAcentral describes it as "lncRNA (ENSEASG00005031589.1)". The record is from RNAcentral. Lineage: Eukaryota; Metazoa; Chordata; Mammalia; Perissodactyla; Equidae.